Molecule: ribosomal RNA, 397 nt
Filed under: uncultured bacterium
Lineage: Bacteria
Description: bacterial SSU rRNA
Rfam family: Bacterial small subunit ribosomal RNA
Source: RNAcentral
AGCGAACGCUGGCGGCGUGCUUAACACAUGCAAGUCGAGCGAGAAAGGGGGCUUCGGCCCCUGAGUACAGCGGCGAACGGGUGCGUAAUACAUGAGUAAUCUACCCUUGAGGCGGGAAUAACCCAGCGAAAGUUGGGCUAAUACCGGAUAAGACCACAAGAGGAGACCCUAGAGGUUAAAGGCAGCUUUCUUUUGGGAGCGGCCCUUCGAGGAGGAGCUCAUGUCCUAUCAGCUAGNGGUAGGGUAACGGCCUACCAAGGCGAAGACGGGUAGCUGGUCUUAGAGGAUGAUCAGCCACACGGGGGACUGAGACACGGCCCCGACUCCUACGGGAGGCAGCAGUGGGGAAUAUUGGGCAAUGGGCGAAAGCCUGACCCAGCGACGCCGCGUGGGUGAU